Molecule: unclassified non-coding RNA, 429 nt
Filed under: Hevea brasiliensis (rubber tree)
Lineage: Eukaryota; Viridiplantae; Streptophyta; Magnoliopsida; Malpighiales; Euphorbiaceae
Source: RNAcentral
GGUUUUCUCACUGGCAUAACAGAUAAAAACACUAGAAAUAUGUUUCCAUAUAUCUGAGGCUAGUAAUUUACAAUAAGAUCAAAACUACCACCUAAUUAGAACAAAAACCAGCAAAAAGAGAAACAGAAACAUAAUAGGUCUUUGCAUCCAUAAAGGAACAUUAAAGAAACGCCCUUCUAACUAACCCAUCUACCUGAACUUCAUUCGUUUUCUGGCAGCAGAAGUAGGAGCAGCUCGUGACUUGCCAAAGUUCUUCUUCUUCCUCUUCUCAUCCUCGCUAUCUGAUUCAUUAAUUUCCCUGUCUGCAUAGCUUGCUUCUUUCUCCAGCUCUUCCCAUGUUUUACCUUUUUCUUCCUCUGAAUCUUCAUCAUCAUCCUCUUCUUCAUCAUCUUCAGAGUCAACCAGAGAUUCCCUGUCUGCAUAGCUUGC